GUAUUUGGCUAUAAGUAUGUAAGAAGGAUGUAUGGAUGGUAUGUAUCAAAUUUGCAGCAUAGUAAACAUUGUUAUUGUCCCUUUCUCUUCCAUUUCUUUUCUUCUCUAAUUUCUGUUUUCUGUUUUUGAGCUUAUUGCUUCUGCUGCCAUUACAAAAGCUAACAGUGGUAUACAGAGCAGUGUUCUUAGAGGCUGUGAGAAAAAGAAAAACACACCCAGAAAAC
Molecule: long non-coding RNA, 224 nt
Filed under: Medicago truncatula (barrel medic)
Lineage: Eukaryota; Viridiplantae; Streptophyta; Magnoliopsida; Fabales; Fabaceae
Description: long non-coding RNA (MTRU_LNC006817)
Source: RNAcentral